CUACGGGUUGCUGCAGUGGGGAAUAUUGCACAAUGGGCGCAAGCCUGAUGCAGCCAUGCCGCGUGUAUGAAGAAGGCCUUCGGGUUGUAAAGUACUUUCAGCGGGGAGGAAGGGAGUAAAGUUAAUACCUUUGCUCAUUGACGUUACCCGCAGAAGAAGCACCGGCUAACUCCGGCCAGCAGCCGCGGUAAUACGGAGGGUGCAAGCGUUAAUCGGAAUUACUGGGCGUAAAGCGCACGCAGGCGGUUUGUUAAGUCAGAUGUGAAAUCCCCGGGCUCAACCUGGGAACUGCAUCUGAUACUGGCAAGCUUGAGUCUGGGAGAGGGGGGUAGAAUUCCAGGUGUAGCGGUGAUAUGCGUAGAGAUCUGGAGGAAUACCGGUGGCGAAGGCGGCCCCCUGGACGAAGACUGACGCUCAGGUGCGAAAGCGUGGGGAGCAAACAGGAUUAGAUACCCUAGUAGUC
Molecule: ribosomal RNA, 463 nt
Filed under: uncultured bacterium
Lineage: Bacteria
Description: partial 16S ribosomal RNA
Rfam family: Bacterial small subunit ribosomal RNA
Source: RNAcentral